CAGAGUAUCCGAAAGCUACUUAAAACCAUCGCUGAACUUAUCUCAUUUGCUUGCUGCGGCGCAAGCUCCCUCACGGGGGACCGCAGCCCGCCUCUCAGGAGGUAGGGCAGCCGCCGGAGGUACAACCAAACUCUGUAUUAUAGUGGAUUCUCUGAGGUAUAUACAAUAAGUUA
This 173-nucleotide unclassified non-coding RNA is filed under the name soil metagenome. RNAcentral describes it as "partial internal transcribed spacer 1". The record is from RNAcentral.